RNAcentral lists this small nucleolar RNA (49 nucleotides) under Pyrobaculum islandicum DSM 4184. Its description in RNAcentral is "PISsR24". Lineage: Archaea; Thermoproteati; Thermoproteota; Thermoprotei; Thermoproteales; Thermoproteaceae. The record is from RNAcentral.
GUGAUGAAUCGGUUCUAUCCAGAGAGGUGAAGAGUGCCGAGUUCGCUGA